Molecule: transfer RNA, 64 nt
Filed under: Trioza urticae
Lineage: Eukaryota; Metazoa; Arthropoda; Insecta; Hemiptera; Triozidae
Description: tRNA-Asn
Source: RNAcentral
AUGAAUAAAAGUCAAAAAGAGACAAAUUAUUGUUAAUAAUUUAAAUGAAAAAAAUUCUUAUUCA